AUACGUAGGGAGCGAGCGUUGUCCGGAAUUACUGGGCGUAAAGGGCGCGUAGGCGGCGCUUCAAGUCGUCUGUCAAAUGGAAGGGCUUAACCCUUUUUCGCAGACGAAACUGGAGAGCUUGAGAAGCAGAGAGGCAAACAGAAUUCCUGGUGUAGCGGUGAAAUGCGUAGAUAUCAGGAAGAAUACCAGUGGCGAAGGCGGUUUGCUGGCUGCAUACUGACGCUGAAGCGCGAAAGCCAGGGGAGCGAACGGGAUUAGAUACCCCGGUAGUCCUGGCAGUAAACGAUGUAUGCUGGGUGUGAGACUAGCGAUAGUUUCGUGCCGAAGUUAACGCGAUAAGCAUACCGCCUGGGGAGUACGGUCGCAAGAUUGAAACUCAAAUGAAUUGGCGGGG
Molecule: ribosomal RNA, 394 nt
Filed under: uncultured bacterium
Lineage: Bacteria
Description: partial 16S ribosomal RNA
Rfam family: Bacterial small subunit ribosomal RNA
Source: RNAcentral